Molecule: non-coding RNA, 148 nt
Filed under: Chlorocebus sabaeus (green monkey)
Lineage: Eukaryota; Metazoa; Chordata; Mammalia; Primates; Cercopithecidae
Source: Rfam by way of RNAcentral
GCCAGGUGUGGUGGUGUGUGCCUGUAAUCCCAGCUACUCGGGAGGCUGAGGCACGAGAAUUGCUUGAGCCCAGGAGGUGCGGGUUGCAGUGAGCCAAGAUCGUACCACUGCACUCCAGCCUGGGUGACACAGUGAGACCUUGUCUCAA